Molecule: ribosomal RNA, 468 nt
Filed under: uncultured bacterium
Lineage: Bacteria
Description: partial 16S ribosomal RNA
Rfam family: Bacterial small subunit ribosomal RNA
Source: RNAcentral
GAUGAACGCUGGCGGCGUGCUUAACACAUGCAAGUCGAACGGAAAGGCCCAAGCUUGCUUGGGUACUCGAGUGGCGAACGGGUGAGUAACACGUGGGUGAUCUGCCCUGCACUUCGGGAUAAGCCUGGGAAACUGGGUCUAAUACCGGAUAGGACCACUUCUUGGAUGUUGUGGUGGAAAGUUUUUCGGUGUGGGAUGAGCUCGCGGCCUAUCAGCUUGUUGGUGGGGUAAUGGCCUACCAAGGCGUCGACGGGUAGCCGGCCUGAGAGGGUGUACGGCCACAUUGGGACUGGGAUACGGCCCAGACUCCUACGGGAGGCAGCAGUGGGGAAUAUUGCACAAUGGGCGCAAGCCUGAUGCAGCGACGCCGCGUGGGGGAUGACGGCCUUCGGGUUGUAAACUCCUUUCGCUAGGGACGAAGCUUAUUUUGUGACGGUACCUGGAGAAGAAGCACCGGCUAACUACGUG